UACGUAGGGUGCGAGCGUUAAUCGGAAUUACUGGGCGUAAAGCGUGCGCAGGCGGUUUUGUAAGCCAGAUGUGAAAUCCCCGGGCUUAACCUGGGAACUGCAUUUGGGACUGCAAGGCUUGAGUGCGGCAGAGGAGACUGGAAUUCCUGGUGUAGCAGUGAAAUGCGUAGAUAUCAGGAGGAAUACCGAUGGCGAAGGCAGGUCUCUGGGCUGACACUGACGCUCAUGCACGAAAACGUGGGGAGCAAACAGG
RNAcentral lists this ribosomal RNA (253 nucleotides) under uncultured bacterium. RNAcentral's name for it is "partial 16S ribosomal RNA". It matches the Rfam family "Bacterial small subunit ribosomal RNA", at positions 524 to 776 of the family's 1533-position model. The record is from RNAcentral.